GGACGAACGCUGGCGGCGUGCUUAACACAUGCAAGUCGAACGGAAAGGCCCCUUUGGGGGUACUCGAGUGGCGAACGGGUGGGUAACACGUGAGUAACCUGCCCUUUACUUCGGGAUAACUUCAGGAAACUGGGGCUAAUACCGGAUAGGAAUCCUUGCUGCAUGGUGGGGUUUGGAAAGCUUCGGCGGUUUUGGAUGGACUCGCGGCUUAUCCGCUUGUUGGUGGGGUAGUGGCUUACCAAGGCUUUGACGGGUAGCCGGCCUGAGAGGGCGACCGGCCACAUUGGGACUGAGAGACGGCCCAGACUCCUACGGGAGGCAGCAGUGGGGAAUAUUGCACAAUGGGCGGAAGCCUGAUGCAGCAACGCCGCGUGCGGGAUGACGGCCUUCGGGUUGUAAACCGCUUUCAGCAGGGGCGAAGCUUGUGGUGACGGUACCUGCAGAAGAAGCACCGGCUAACUACGUG
This 466-nucleotide ribosomal RNA is filed under the name uncultured bacterium. Its description in RNAcentral is "partial 16S ribosomal RNA". It matches the Rfam family "Bacterial small subunit ribosomal RNA", at positions 27 to 507 of the family's 1533-position model. The record is from RNAcentral.